GACGAACGCUGGCGGCGUGCCUAAUACAUGCAAGUCGAGCGAAUCGAUGGGAGCUUGCUCCUUGAGAUUAGCGGCGGACGGGUGAGUAACACGUGGGUAACCUGCCUGUGAGAUUGGGAUAACUCCGGGAAACCGGAGCUAAUACCGGAUAACAUUUUGAACCGCAUGGUUCAAAAUUGAAAGAUGGUUUCGGCUAUCAC
RNAcentral lists this ribosomal RNA (200 nucleotides) under uncultured bacterium. Its description in RNAcentral is "partial 16S ribosomal RNA". It matches the Rfam family "Bacterial small subunit ribosomal RNA", at positions 28 to 218 of the family's 1533-position model. The record is from RNAcentral.